Molecule: unclassified non-coding RNA, 1042 nt
Filed under: Hevea brasiliensis (rubber tree)
Lineage: Eukaryota; Viridiplantae; Streptophyta; Magnoliopsida; Malpighiales; Euphorbiaceae
Source: RNAcentral
UGGGGCUUGUGUUCUCUUGAUAACUUCCGUUAACAACUUCUCAAAAGGCAUACCAGGCAAUUUCAUUGAUUUGGCUUCAGCCUCUUGCUGGGCAUCCAAUAAAUUUUGAUUAAAACCAGCUUCCUUCUGUAAACCUGAAGGCAUUAACUGGUGGUUAUUUUGAGAUUGAAAGUGAAGCAACUGGGCUUCAACUGCCCCCACUUGGUUUGUGGAUGUUGAUCCAUUUGAUGGAUGAGCAGCAUCUAGCACCUUUUUGCCCUUAAAAGCCACUGCAUCAGCAGGUUGGGUUGCAACUGAAGACAAUUCGCCAGAAGUCCCAUUUGAUAAAUCAACAGGAUGGAGUACAACAGGCACCACAUUGCCUCUUGAGUUCCCAGGAGAAGAAGCAUGACUUGCCAUUGAAGGCACUUGUUUGCCUUUGGAGGCUACCGGAUUAGCAGCUUGAGCUGUAUGAAAAGUACCAUUUCUCUCCCUAGACCGGGGAUUAUGGCUAGGGACCUGAGCAUAAUUUUCUCUUGGGAUGGGAAUCUCAUUUCUUCUGAUCAUUUGGAUGCCUGGGGCAACAUCAUUGUCUGUGGAAACAGGAACACAUCGUCCAGGCUUAAAAACAACACCCCUCAAAGUGGUUUCUGAGUUGCCAACCCUAACAGUGAGUAAAUAUCCAGCAUCAAAUGCUGCCUCGAUGACACCAUGAACUACUUGACCCACCAUGAUAUCACUUGCAUCAUUAACUGGAUCUACUUGGCGGGGUUGAUUUCCAUUGACCGUUACAAAUCCAGGCGGAACAUAAGAGCUUCCCCCAUGAUUUGGAUUCUGGCCCCUUGCAGCACGAACAUCCACCCCAUGACCAAGAUCUAGCCUUGGAUACUUACGUGGACGACCACGCUUGCGCUUCACGGGAACAAGUGCUGAUUCAUCAGGAUGAUUCCCUUGAUUUGCUUCACUCAUGUUCAGUAUAAGUCAAAUAAACUUUCCUUGCUUUCCACACAACCUAUUGAUAUGGUUUUCCCUCCCUGCAGAAGCAAUGUUCAGUGGGGAAGAG